GGCUGCGUAACACGUUGGUACCUGCCCCGUACUCAGGGAUAACACAUCGAAAGGUGUGCUAAUACCGGAUAGUCCCACGCGCAAGCGUGGGUAAAGCUUUCGCGGUACGGGAGGGGCCUGCGGCCUAUCAGCUAGUUGGUAAGGUAAAGGCUUACCAAGGCUAUGACGGGUAGCUGAUCUGAGAGGAUGAUCAGCCAGAAUGGGACUGAGACAAGGCCCAUACUCC
Molecule: ribosomal RNA, 226 nt
Filed under: uncultured bacterium
Lineage: Bacteria
Description: partial 16S ribosomal RNA
Rfam family: Bacterial small subunit ribosomal RNA
Source: RNAcentral